This is a ribosomal RNA of Drosophila sechellia, 1929 nucleotides long. It matches the Rfam family "Eukaryotic large subunit ribosomal RNA", at positions 386 to 2048 of the family's 3401-position model. The record is from Rfam. NCBI's taxonomy places the organism in Eukaryota, Metazoa, Arthropoda, Insecta, Diptera, Drosophilidae.
UUCUAGAGGUUAAGCCCGAUGAACCUGAAUAUCCGUUAUGCGAGAUUAUUCAUCAUUAAAAUUGUAAUAUUUAAAUAAUAUUAUUAAGAAUAAUGUGCAUUUUUUCCAUAUAAGGACAUUGUAAUCUAUUAGCAUAUCCCAAAUUUAUCAUAAAAUAUAACUUAUAGUUUAUUCCAAUUAAAUUGCUUGCAUUUUAACACAGAAUAAAUGUUAUUAAUUUGAUAAAGUGCUGAUAGAUUUAUAUUAUUACAGAGCGUUAAUUUUUCGGAAUUAUAUAAUGGCAUAAUUAUCAUUGAUUUUUGUGUUUAUUAUAUGCUCUUGUAUGAUUAACAAUGCGAAAGAUUCAGGAUACCUUCGGGACCCGUCUUGAAACACGGACCAAGGAGUCUAACAUAUGUGCAAGUUAUUGGGAUGUAAACCUAAUAGCGUAAUUAACUUGACUAAUAAUGGGAUUAGUUUUUUAGCUAUUUAUAGCUAAUUAACACAAUCCCGGGGCGUUCUAUAUAGUUAUGUAUAAUGUAUAUUUAUAUUAUUUAUGCCUCUAACUGGAACGUACCUUGAGCAUAUAUGCUGUGACCCGAAAGAUGGUGAACUAUACUUGAUCAGGUUGAAGUCAGGGGAAACCCUGAUGGAAGACCGAAACAGUUCUGACGUGCAAAUCGAUUGUCAGAAUUGAGUAUAGGGGCGAAAGACCAAUCGAACCAUCUAGUAGCUGGUUCCUUCCGAAGUUUCCCUCAAGAUAGCUGGUGCAUUUUAAUAUUAUAUAAAAUAAUCUUAUCUGGUAAAGCGAAUGAUUAGAGGCCUUAGGGUCGAAACGAUCUUAACCUAUUCUCAAACUUUAAAUGGGUAAGAACCUUAACUUUCUUGAUAUGAAGUUCAAGGUUAUGAUAUAAAUGUGCCCAGUGGGCCACUUUUGGUAAGCAGAACUGGCGCUGUGGGAUGAACCAAGCGUAAUGUUACGGUGCCCAAAUUAACAACUCAUGCAGAUACCAUGAAAGGCGUUGGUUGCUUAAAACAGCAGGACGGUGAUCAUGGACAGUCGAAAUCCGCUAAGGAGUGUGUAACAACUCACCUGCCGAAGCACCUAGCCCUUAAAAUGGAUGGCGCUUAAGUUGUAUACCUAUACAUUACCGCUAAAGUAGAUGAAUUAUAUUACUUGUGAUAUAAAUUUUGAAACUUUAGUGAGUAGGAAGGUACAAUGGUAUGCGUAGAAGUGUUUGGCGUAAGCCUGCAUGGAGCUGCCAUUGGUACAGAUCUUGGUGGUAGUAGCAAAUAAUCGAAUGAGACCUUGGAGGACUGAAGUGGAGAAGGGUUUCGUGUGAACAGUGGUUGAUCACGAGUUAGUCGGUCCUAAGUUCAAGGCGAAAGCCGAAAAUUUUCAAGUAAAACAAAAAUGCCUAACUAUAUAAACAAAGCGAAUAUAAUACACUUGAAUAAUUUUGAACGAAAGGGAAUACGGUUCCAAUUCCGUAACCUGUUGAGUAUCCGUUUGUUAUUAAAUAUGGGCCUCGUGCUCAUCCUGGCAACAGGAACGACCAUAAAGAAGCCGUCGAGAGAUAUCGGAAGAGUUUUCUUUUCUGUUUUAUAGCCGUACUACCAUGGAAGUCUUUCGCAGAGAGAUAUGGUAGAUGGGCUAGAAGAGCAUGACAUAUACUGUUGUGUCGAUAUUUUCUCCUCGGACCUUGAAAAUUUAUGGUGGGGACACGCAAACUUCUCAACAGGCCGUACCAAUAUCCGCAGCUGGUCUCCAAGGGUGAAGAGUCUCUAGUCGAUAGAAUAAUGUAGGUAAGGGAAGUCGGCAAAUUAGAUACCGUAACUUCGGGAUAAGGAUGGGCUCUGAAGAUUGAGAUAGUCGGGGCUUGAUUGGGGAAACAAUUACAUGGUUUAUGUGCUUCGUUCUGGGUAAUAGAGUAUCUAGCAUUUAUGGUA